AUUCCAGCUCCAAUAGCGUAUAUUAAAGUUGUUGCAGUUAAAAAGCUCGUAGUUGGAGUUCUGCCAGGUGCCACCUGUCCGCCCCAGUGGUGAGUACGUGGUGCGCAUUUGGCCCUUUCAAGGGGAGCGUAUUUGCACUUAAUUGUGUGGUGCGGGAUCCUUGACUUUUACUUUGAGGAAAUUAGAGUGUUCACGGCAGGCGUUUGCCCUGAAUAUAUUAGCAUGGAAUAAUGAUAUAGGAUCCACGUCCUACUUUGUUGGUUUCUAGGACGAGGAUAAUGAUUAAUAGGGAUAAUUGGGGGCAUUCGUAUUAACACGUCAGAGGUGGAAUUCUUGGAUUGUGUUACGACGAACUACUGCGAAAGCAUUUGCCAAGGAUGUUUUCAUCG
This 389-nucleotide ribosomal RNA is filed under the name Syndiniales sp. Its description in RNAcentral is "partial small subunit ribosomal RNA". It matches the Rfam family "Eukaryotic small subunit ribosomal RNA", at positions 582 to 975 of the family's 1831-position model. The record is from RNAcentral. Lineage: Eukaryota; Dinophyceae; Syndiniales.